RNAcentral lists this ribosomal RNA (497 nucleotides) under uncultured bacterium. RNAcentral describes it as "partial 16S ribosomal RNA". It matches the Rfam family "Bacterial small subunit ribosomal RNA", at positions 28 to 507 of the family's 1533-position model. The record is from RNAcentral.
GAUGAACGCUGGCGGCGUGCCUAAUACAUGCAAGUCGAGCGAACGGACGAGAAGCUUGCUUCUCUGAUGUUAGCGGCGGACGGGUGAGUAACACGUGGAUAACCUACCUAUAAGACUGGGAUAACUUCGGGAAACCGUAGCUAAUACCGGAUAAUAUUUUGAACCGCAUGGUUCAAAAGUGAAAGACGGUCUUGCUGUCACUUAUAGAUGGAUCCGCGCUGCAUUAGCUAGUUGGUAAGGUAACGGCUUACCAAGGCAACGAUGCAUAGCCGACCUGAGAGGGUGAUCGGCCACACUGGAACUGAGACACGGUCCAGGAUCCUACGGGAGGCAGCAGUAGGGAAUCUUCCGCAAUGGGCGAAAGCCUGACGGAGCAACGCCGCGUGAGUGAUGAAGGUCUUCGGGUCGUAAAACUCUGUUAUUAGGGAAGAACAUAUGUGUAAGUAACUGUGCACAUCUUGACGGUACCUAAUCAGAAAGCCACGGCUAACUACGUG